CGGCCAGAUUAUGUUAAAACUCGAGUUCUCGUACGAUCACGGAAGUUAAGCAACGUCAUGCUUGGUCAGUAUCUCGAUAGGUAGCCGCUUGGAAAUACAGGUGCUGCAA
This is a non-coding RNA of Acanthosepion pharaonis, 109 nucleotides long. The record is from the annotation of a GenBank genome assembly. NCBI's taxonomy places the organism in Eukaryota, Metazoa, Mollusca, Cephalopoda, Sepiida, Sepiidae.